UACGUAGGGGGCUAGCGUUAUCCGGAAUUACUGGGCGUAAAGGGUGCGUAGGUGGUUUCUUAAGUCAGAGGUGAAAGGCUACGGCUCAAACCGUAGGUAAGCCUUUGAAACUGGGAAACUUGAGUGCAGGAGAGGAGAGUGGAAUUCCUAGUGUAGCGGUGAAAUGCGUAGAUAUUAGGAGGAACACCAGUUGCGAAGGCGGCUCUCUGGACUGUAACUGACACUGAGGCACGAAAGCGUGGGGAGCAAACAGGAUUAGAUACCCCCGUAGUCCCUGAGCGGGCU
RNAcentral lists this ribosomal RNA (285 nucleotides) under uncultured prokaryote. Its description in RNAcentral is "partial 16S ribosomal RNA". It matches the Rfam family "Bacterial small subunit ribosomal RNA", at positions 524 to 817 of the family's 1533-position model. The record is from RNAcentral.